This is a long non-coding RNA of Rattus norvegicus (Norway rat), 2523 nucleotides long. The record is from Ensembl. Lineage: Eukaryota; Metazoa; Chordata; Mammalia; Rodentia; Muridae.
GGUAACAUACACGUAUGCCUCAUUUACUCCACCAAUCACAUCCCUGUACUGGGACGCCCACAGAUACCUGUGUAUCCUGAUCAAUAAAAAUCCUCUUGCAGAUUGCAGCCUGUGGACUCGGUCUGGUCAUUGGGCUUGAGGAUCUCCCUCCUGAGGGAAGAUUCUCUCUGAGAGUCUUACAUAUGGGGGCUCGUCCGGGAUCGGAGAUCCUCUGCCUAGAGACCACCGACCACCCACCGGGAGGCUAAAAGACCUACAGGUGAUACAGAAAGAAAUCUGCUCACAGCUGACAGCAGCCUAUGCCCCGGGGACCCCUGAGACAUGUCAUCAGUUCCAGGUUAGAGACUACAGCUACACUGAGCCCAGACACUCGAGCCUCGCUGGAAAGGACCAUACCUGGUGCUGCUGACCACCCUGACAGCCAUCAAGUCUCAGCCCUCACCAGCAGCGUACUAGCUGUUGGGGCUGAGAGCUGGGACCUAGAGGGACACUCAGAUCUUCAAAAAGCUCCCUAGACUUAAGUGAUUGGGAGGUUGCUAUAAUGCUCACUUGAGGAGUGUGUUUUAGAAACAAGAAUUUCAUAUUUGCCUGUUUGCCCUGGGUUCCCUCGGAAUAGGUGUAAGGAUAGGCUUGAUUUUUAUUGCAAAUGAUGUAAUAUUACAUAUGUUAGUACUCCUAACACUUCUUGGGACUGUGCCUCAGGGAUCACAACCUAUAUAAGUUUAGAAGUUCUAAAAGACCUUGGUGUAUAGGUUCAGAUAGUGUCCAGAUUAGAAUCCUGAUGCUAAAGACUUAAUAAGACACAAAAGAGAGUUGAGAAUUAUUUAAGGCUAUCUAGGUGCUACAAGGGCAGCACAAGGACAUCUGCUAUUGCCCUAUAAUGCAAGGCUUAUAGAGAAUUCAGAACUGCCAUUGACUCAGAUAUGAAAAGAGUAAAAAAGACUUUUUAGCUGACCUCCAAGAACACCUAACCUCCCUCUCAGAGGUAGUCCUUCAAAAUAGAAAAAGAUUAGACCUGAUAUUCCUUAAAGAAGGAGUAUGUGUGCUACACUAAAAGAAGAAUGUUGUUUCUAUGCAGAUCAGAUAGGAAUAAUAAGAGAUAUAGUCUUUCAGUCAUUCAAACUUUUGUGCUGAGACAACAGUAUCAGAUGGUGAAACAACAAAAAACAGAGGUACCUUAACCAAGUUGAGUGGAAGAUUCCACUCAAGGACAAAAAGAAAAUGGGGGAAUGAAAGACCCCCUCCCAGAAAGGGAAUUGUACAAGCCCAAGGCCCUCAACUAUAGAAGUAAAAAGUAAGUUUUUAGAUAUGUGGGACAAGCUGACCCAUCAUUUAGACGAAACAGACCAGAAAAGAAAACAAAAUGCAGAAACCAGACUAAAUUAUGGGCACUGCUCCAUGGGCCACCUGGCAGGAAAAAGAAAAAGUCCCUGACCCCCCGGAAGCCCUGACCACCAUGUACUUUUUGCUAACUCAUUGUUAUGAUUAUAGCCAAAAUAGGUAACAUACACGUAUGCCUCAUCUGUACUGGGACGCCCACAGAUACCUGUGUAUCCUGAUCAAUAAAAAUCCUCUUGCAGAUUGCAGCCUGUGGACUCGGUCUGGUCAUUGGGCUUGAGGAUCUCCCUCCUGAGGGAAGAUUCUCUCUGAGAGUCUUACAAUCUGAGGAUUGUAUGAGAACUCUAAGGGAGCUUGCAGCCCCUCAAUGGGCCAUGUCACUGGUACUCACAAUCUUAGUGUUUGAUCUCUUUCAGGCAUUGCUGCUGGAGCAUAUUAACCAUUCAAUCACCACCCCAGGAAAGAACGUAGACUGUCAGCAAUGACCGCCACCCUUAGAAAGCAUUUGGGAAAAUAAAAUUGUUGGUGGAACAAAAUUGAGAUGUUUUUACUACUGGCUCUGGUGUAGAAAGUCUUAGGGAACGAUUUGAAGUUCAGAAAGGCACACUCUUAAUAGUUAAGCUAGGCACCUUUUAAGGUCAGGGAACAAGAACAAUGGCAGUACUAGCUGAAGAGACUCUUCUGCUGGAGCUGGGCGGUGAUCAAGGCAAGGGAUUCCUCGUGCCCAGUUUUGCCCUCAGCCUACUCUACGGUUUAAUAAAUUUUGCUGAUGAGUAGAUGUGCAGUCUGAGAAUUUAAAGUAGAAACGGCUGGUUGUCUUUUAUCUAAAAGUUUAGAUUUGUGAUUCUUUUAAGAUCUUUAUAAGAUUACUUUUUAAGAUAAAUGAUAAAAUAAUCUUUCCUUUCUUUGUAACUGCAAACUGCUGCCUGCCAGUAAGAGAAACUGGUUGAGAAAAUUACUUUGCCUGCUCACACUUUUGUAAUCUCUGGCAAGUUGCUUAGUUACAAAUGUACGUGGGUUUUUGGGAAUAAUCUGUUUUCUUUUCCUGUACUAUGUAAUGCUAUUUCUUGUAAAGGUAUUGGAGAACACGCUGUAUUUUCACAGUCAUUCACUAGAAGAAAAACAGAAUGCAAUCACACUGUAAUUUUAUACUGCUUGAGAGAUUUUGCUGUGAGAGAAAAAAAU